GAUGAAGAACGCAGCGAAAUGCGAUAAGUAGUGUGAAUUGCAGAAUUCCGUGAAUCAUCGAAUCUUUGAACGCACAUUGCGCCUCCUGGUAGUCCGGGAGGCAUGCCUGUCCGAGCGUCACCAAAUCCAACUCAAGCGGUUUUGCGCUUGGUCGUGGCGGAAGAGUCGGUCUGGUUGCCGUCUCCCCUCCGAAAAUCAACGGCGGAAAGUCACUGGCAGUCAGCGUAGUAGUAUCGUUCGCCGAACAUCCAGUGGCAUUCCUGCCGACGUACCCCCACAAUUCUCGUGAUUGACCUCGGAUCAGGUAGGGAUACCCGCUGAACUUAAGCAUAUCAAUAAGCGGAGGA
This 347-nucleotide unclassified non-coding RNA is filed under the name soil metagenome. RNAcentral's name for it is "partial contains 5.8S ribosomal RNA, internal transcribed spacer 2, and large subunit ribosomal RNA". The stretch from base 1 to 120 matches the Rfam family "5.8S ribosomal RNA", at positions 35 to 154 of the family's 154-position model. The record is from RNAcentral.